Molecule: ribosomal RNA, 378 nt
Filed under: Clavulina cinereoglebosa
Lineage: Eukaryota; Fungi; Basidiomycota; Agaricomycetes; Cantharellales; Hydnaceae
Description: eukaryotic LSU rRNA
Rfam family: Eukaryotic large subunit ribosomal RNA
Source: RNAcentral
AAAUAGCCCUCAGCCUUAUGUGGCGAUCGGGACUAAUGAUAUCACCUCGCCUGCAAUGGCCGGGGUUGGCCCACGUAACCUGCUUAGGAUGCUGGUGUAAUGGCUUCAAACGACCCGUCUUGCUACACGGACCAAGCAGUCCAUCAUGCCUCCGAGUGUUUGGGUGGUUAAACCCCGGACGCGCAAUGAAAAAGAGAAGUCAGGACCUCUGUUUUGGAGGGCACCGACGCCCGGCCCAGACCUUUUAUUGUGACGGAUCCGAGGUAGAGCAUGUCUGCUGGGACCCGAAAGAUGGUGAACUAUGCUUGAGUAGGGCGAAGCCAGAGGAAACUCUGGUGGAGGCUCGUAGCGGUUCUGACGUGCAAAUCGAUCGUCGAA